Molecule: ribosomal RNA, 37 nt
Filed under: Chaetoceros neogracilis
Lineage: Eukaryota; Bacillariophyta; Thalassiosirophyceae; Chaetocerotales; Chaetocerotaceae
Description: partial 28S ribosomal RNA
Source: RNAcentral
AUUUCGAAUCUCAGCUUGGUAGGGAUACCCGCUGAAC